AGAGUUUGAUCCUGGUUCAGGACGAAUGCUGGCGGCGUGCCUAAUACAUGCAAGUCGAACGGGGUGUAGUCAGGGGUAACUCUGGCUGCAUCUAGUGGCGAACGGGUGAGUAACACGUGAGAAACCUGCCCUGAAGACGGGGAUAACAGAAGGAAACUUCUGCUAAUACCCGAUACCCCCUCCGGAGCUCAUGCUCUGGUGAGGAAAUGGAUUCCGCUUCAGGAGGGUCUCGCGGCCUAUCAGCUUGUUGGUGGGGUAACGGCCUACCAAGGCUUCGACGGGUAGCUGGUCUGAGAGGACGAUCAGCCACACUGGGACUGAGACACGGCCCAGACUCCUACGGGAGGCAGCAGUAAGGAAUAUUGCGCAAUGGGCGAAAGCCUGACGCAGCAACGCCGCGUGCGGGAUGAAGGCCCUCGGGUUGUAAACCGCUUUCAGUAGGGAAGAAGAUGACGGUACCUACAGAAGAAGCCCCGGCCAACUACGUGCCAGCAGCCGCGGUAACACGUAGGGGGCGAGCGUUGUCCGGAUUCAUUGGGCGUAAAGAGCUCGUAGGCGGUUUCGUAAGUCGGAUGUGAAAACUCCAGGCUCAACUUGGAGACGCCAUUCGAUACUGCGAUGACUAGAGUCCGGUAGGGGAGUGUGGAAUUCCUGGUGUAGCGGUGAAAUGCGCAGAUAUCAGGAGGAACACCGGCGGCGAAGGCGGCACUCUGGGCCGGUACUGACGCUGAGGAGCGAAAGCGUGGGUAGCAAACAGGAUUAGAUACCCUGGUAGUCCACGCCGUAAACGGUGGGCACUA
This 800-nucleotide ribosomal RNA is filed under the name uncultured bacterium. RNAcentral describes it as "bacterial SSU rRNA". It matches the Rfam family "Bacterial small subunit ribosomal RNA", at positions 8 to 818 of the family's 1533-position model. The record is from RNAcentral.